This is a long non-coding RNA of Raphanus sativus (radish), 1263 nucleotides long. RefSeq lists it as uncharacterized. The record is from RefSeq and is a predicted model, not a curated record. Lineage: Eukaryota; Viridiplantae; Streptophyta; Magnoliopsida; Brassicales; Brassicaceae. The transcript is spliced from 2 exons.
CUUUUCAACCAAAACAUAUAGUCAAAAAAUAAUAAACCACACAUCCUCUUUCUAUAAAAAUCUGUGUCCUCUCUCUAGAAAAAGUAGAUUUCAGUGGCUCUCACAGCACCGGCGUCGAAUUUCUUAGUUCUAUUGUUGGGUGUUCUUGAUGCUCUCUGAAGAGGUGGUAAAGAUCCGACUUGGUUGAUGGGUGUCAAGGGCUCAGCCUAGAGGAGUGUGGUUGCGCGUGAAGUUUGUUUUCAGAAUCCAGUGGCUAAAGGCGGUUCUUUUCUAGAUGAUGAAGACGUGUGCUGGUUGUUUCUAGCCGGCUUCAGAGUUUACUUCUCGUUUGAUUUCUAGAUCUACUUGUUCUGUCGCUGGCCUUGUGCCUAAGGAGUAUGUGUCCUCUGCUUUUUCUGGUUGUGUGUUUAUAACCUCUAUGGAGUCUCAGAUUCUUCCUCACCUUCGUAGUCGUUCUUUGUUGAGAUUUCCUUGCUUGUCUGUUGAGAUUGAUCUCGACUAAUCUGUCACGGAGUUCAGAGAUUGGCUUAGUUUGUCUUUGUUCUAGCAACGGUGUAGUAUGAGAGUAGUGGCGUGUGGAGAGCAGUCGAAGGUUUGUCGAGAAGAAGUGUUGGUUUCAGGUAAUCAUUUCAUCUCCCAGUUUCAGAAGAGUCCUCCUAUUUCCCUGUGAGUAAGUGUGGUUUCUUGUUUGGCAUUGGUCUCUGGUUUUCCUCGGUAGCUUCUUCGUGGUGAAGCAUUAGAAUGAGGUUGAGGCUUUAAGUGUACAGUUAAAGGUGUGGUUGAGUAGUGAUUUCUCCCGGGUUUUGGUUCUUUAUGGUUUUCGCAUGAGUUUGUCUUAGAGGGUGUUUGUGGUCAUCGUGAACGGGUGGUUCGAUUGAAGGUUCCUGCUUUUCAUCGUAUCAUACUCUCUUGCUUUGUGUCUUGCAAGACUUCCGGCUAUUUAAUGAAUACAAUUGAUGUUUCAGUUUAUCAUUCGUUGUAUGUUCUUUAGACUCUUGUCUCCCUUUUUUGGGCUUGGUUUCCGGCGAAGUUCAUGUAUUCCACCAGCAUUAGUAUUCCACCCUUGUAAGGUCAGAUUUAGAACCUUCAGGAUUGCUGCUGUCAUCGUCAGUCUUGCUUCUGCCAUUAUUCAUCUAUUCUUUGCAAAGUUAGAUCCAUGUUUUGUGUUUAAAGGACUGAUAUUUUAUGGAAAAGAAUUCAUAACUUGUAAUGGAAUAUAGAUCCGAACUUGAUCAGUAUACCAAAAUCUGGAUUUUCAAGUUU